Non-coding RNA from Triticum aestivum (bread wheat), 136 nucleotides. Lineage: Eukaryota; Viridiplantae; Streptophyta; Magnoliopsida; Poales; Poaceae. The record is from Rfam.
AUUAUACUCCCUCUGUCCAGAAAUACUUGUCAUCAAAAUGGAUAAAAGGAGAUGUAUUUAGACGUAUUUUAGUUCUAGAUACAUCUUUUUUUAUCCAUCUUGAUGACAAGUAUUUUCAGACGGAUGGGAGUAUAUU